RNAcentral lists this ribosomal RNA (991 nucleotides) under Arthrobacter pascens. RNAcentral's name for it is "bacterial SSU rRNA". It matches the Rfam family "Bacterial small subunit ribosomal RNA", at positions 338 to 1338 of the family's 1533-position model. Lineage: Bacteria; Bacillati; Actinomycetota; Actinomycetes; Micrococcales; Micrococcaceae. The record is from RNAcentral.
CCUACGGGAGGCAGCAGUGGGGAAUAUUGCACAAUGGGCGCAAGCCUGAUGCAGCGACGCCGCGUGAGGGAUGACGGCCUUCGGGGUUGUAAACCUCUUUCAGUAGGGAAGAAGCGAAAGUGACGGUACCUGCAGAAGAAGCGCCGGCUAACUACGUGCCAGCAGCCGCGGUAAUACGUAGGGCGCAAGCGUUAUCCGGAAUUAUUGGGCGUAAAGAGCUCGUAGGCGGUUUGUCGCGUCUGCCGUGAAAGUCCGGGGCUCAACUCCGGAUCUGCGGUGGGUACGGGCAGACUAGAGUGAUGUAGGGGAGACUGGAAUUCCUGGUGUAGCGGUGAAAUGCGCAGAUAUCAGGAGGAACACCGAUGGCGAAGGCAGGUCUCUGGGCAUUAACUGACGCUGAGGAGCGAAAGCAUGGGGAGCGAACAGGAUUAGAUACCCUGGUAGUCCAUGCCGUAAACGUUGGGCACUAGGUGUGGGGGACAUUCCACGUUUUCCGCGCCGUAGCUAACGCAUUAAGUGCCCCGCCUGGGGAGUACGGCCGCAAGGCUAAAACUCAAAGGAAUUGACGGGGGCCCGCACAAGCGGCGGAGCAUGCGGAUUAAUUCGAUGCAACGCGAAGAACCUUACCAAGGCUUGACAUGGACCGGACCGCCGCAGAAAUGUGGUUUCCCCUUUGGGGCCGGUUCACAGGUGGUGCAUGGUUGUCGUCAGCUCGUGUCGUGAGAUGUUGGGUUAAGUCCCGCAACGAGCGCAACCCUCGUUCCAUGUUGCCAGCGCGUAAUGGCGGGGACUCAUGGGAGACUGCCGGGGUCAACUCGGAGGAAGGUGGGGACGACGUCAAAUCAUCAUGCCCCUUAUGUCUUGGGCUUCACGCAUGCUACAAUGGCCGGUACAAAGGGUUGCGAUACUGUGAGGUGGAGCUAAUCCCAAAAAGCCGGUCUCAGUUCGGAUUGGGGUCUGCAACUCGACCCCAUGAAGUCGGAGUCGCUAG